UUGAACGCUGGCGGCAUGCCUUACACAUGCAAGUCGAACGGCAGCACGGGUGCUUGCACCUGGUGGCGAGUGGCGAACGGGUGAGUAAUACAUCGGAACAUGUCCUGUAGCGGGGGAUAGCCCGGCGAAAGCCGGAUUAAUACCGCAUACGAUCUACGGAUGAAAGCGGGGGACCUUCGGGCCUCGCGCUAUAGGGUUGGCCGAUGGCUGAUUAGCUAGUUGGUGGGGUAAAGGCCUACCAAGGCGACGAUCAGUAGCUGGUCUGAGAGGACGACCAGCCACACUGGGACUGAGACACGGCCCAGACUCCUACGGGAGGCAGCAGUGGGGAAUUUUGGACAAUGGGCGAAAGCCUGAUCCAGCAAUGCCGCGUGUGUGAAGAAGGCCUUCGGGUUGUAAAGCACUUUUGUCCGGAAAGAAAUCCUUGGCCCUAAUACGGUCGGGGGAUGACGGUACCGGAAGAAUAAGCACCGGCUAACUACGUG
RNAcentral lists this ribosomal RNA (485 nucleotides) under uncultured bacterium. RNAcentral describes it as "partial 16S ribosomal RNA". It matches the Rfam family "Bacterial small subunit ribosomal RNA", at positions 30 to 507 of the family's 1533-position model. The record is from RNAcentral.